GGGGCUAUAGCUCAGUUGGUAGAGCAUCUCGUUUACACCGAGAAAGUCUACGGUUCGAGUCCGUAUAGCCCCA
RNAcentral lists this transfer RNA (73 nucleotides) under Drypetes indica. RNAcentral describes it as "tRNA-Val". It matches the Rfam family "tRNA". From Rfam's summary of the family: Transfer RNA (tRNA) molecules are approximately 80 nucleotides in length. Their secondary structure includes four short double-helical elements and three loops (D, anti-codon, and T loops). The record is from RNAcentral. Lineage: Eukaryota; Viridiplantae; Streptophyta; Magnoliopsida; Malpighiales; Putranjivaceae.